GCCUUCGAUCCCCUCUUAUCAUUUGCUAGUUCACUUUUGAGGCUUUUUUGCGCGUGAAGCCCAUCCUUUUCUUUUUCUUUUUUUUUGUUGCAAGUAUCUCGGUCUCUUUGUUAUGAAAUAGAGUCUUCUCUUUAUAUUUGUGCUUGCAUUUUGAUGUAAGUUGAACUCUCAGACCUUUUUUUAAUGGUUACAAGUGGCCAAAUCUUAAAAUUGAGGACAUUUUUAGUGAACUAAGAUUAGAAGAACUGAAGUUUCAAUACACUACUAGUCAAAUUUAGAUUUGCGAAGUAUAAUUAAUAAG
Molecule: long non-coding RNA, 301 nt
Filed under: Capsicum annuum
Lineage: Eukaryota; Viridiplantae; Streptophyta; Magnoliopsida; Solanales; Solanaceae
Description: long non-coding RNA (CANN_LNC016761)
Source: RNAcentral